GACGAACGCUGGCGGCGUGCUUAACACAUGCAAGUCGAACGGAAAGGCCCUGCUUUUGUGGGGUGCUCGAGUGGCGCACGGGUGAGUAACACGUGAGUAACCUGCCCUUGUCUUUGGGAUAACUUCAGGAAACUGGGGCUAAUACCGGAUAGGAGAUCUUGCUGCAUGGUGGGGGUUGGAAAGUUUCGGCGGUUGUGGAUGGACUCGCGGCUUAUCAGCUUGUUGGUGGGGUAGUGGCUUACCAAGGCUUUGACGGGUAGCCGGCCUGGGAGGGUGACCGGGCACAAUGGGACUGAGAUACGGCCCAGACUCCUACGGGAGGCAGCAGUGGGGAAUAUUGCACAAUGGGCGGAAGCCUGAUGCAGCAACGCCGCGUGCGGGAUGACGGCCUUCGGGUUGUAAACCGCUUUCGCCUGUGACGAAGCGGGAGUGACGGUAAUGGGUAAAGAAGCACCGGCUAACUACGUG
This 468-nucleotide ribosomal RNA is filed under the name uncultured bacterium. RNAcentral describes it as "partial 16S ribosomal RNA". It matches the Rfam family "Bacterial small subunit ribosomal RNA", at positions 28 to 507 of the family's 1533-position model. The record is from RNAcentral.